GCCAUGCCAUCUUCUUGUGAUUCUUUUUUUUUUUUUUUUUUCUCUUUCUCCUUUUUCUCCCAAGGAUUUAUGCAUAAUUCAGAAGAAAGGAAGAUGUGGAAGUGGAAAUCUGUCCACUGAGAAGACACAAAACUUUUUAGAUGCAGAUAAGGAACAUUUAAGGAGUAUGAGAGAAGAUGAAAGUAUUGAGAACAAAGGUCGAGAUCGGAGGUGUUGCCUUGUAAAACUAGGACAACUUCAUUAAUCUCCACUGGCACAAGCAACCUCAGAGAUGGUAUAGUUCUGUCUCCUCUAAAGCUGUUUGUAAGACUUCUAGAACUGGUCACUGGAGUAAUGAAAACUUGUGGUUUAUCUGACAAGUACUUAAGAAAUACAUUUCCAACUACUGACACUAAUUUUUACAAUUACUAAAUAAUUGAAGAAGCAAAUACAAUGUCAAUAAGAACAUUUUUCUUGAGAAGAAAUAACAAGAUGCUUUUGAUUACAUGAAGCAUGAAAGUGAUUAAAAGGACCAAAUGCUGCCCAAGCAGGUAAUACACUGCCUUCAAACCAGCUUCAAUCAGGAACACAUGAUGGCUAAGUGUAAGUGCUUUGCUCUCCAAGUAUUGCAUUAAAAUGUCCCUUUCUUUCCUUUCUUAACUUGUUUUCAUAAGCAUUGGCUUACAACACGAGGGGGAAGGGGUAAAAGAUGUUCUGUGAAAGUCAGUUCAGUUUAAAAAUCUGCCCAUUUAUGCUGUGCAGUCUAGUUCAGUGUAAUGUAUUUAUUUAUUUAUUUUGCUUAUCUAGGAAAAUAAAAGACAUCUGAAUAGCA
RNAcentral lists this long non-coding RNA (811 nucleotides) under Coturnix japonica (Japanese quail). Its description in RNAcentral is "lncRNA (ENSCJPG00005007507.1)". Lineage: Eukaryota; Metazoa; Chordata; Aves; Galliformes; Phasianidae. The record is from RNAcentral.